AACCGCGGUUAUACGAGAGACCCAAGUUGAUAGCUACCGGCGUAAAGGGUGGUUAGGGAAAAUUAAAAACUAAAGCCGAACGUCCUCAAAGCUGUUAUACGCACUACCCCUGAGGAUAGGAAGUUCAACCACGAAAGUGGCUUUAAAAUUACCUGAACCCACGGAAGCUAGGACC
RNAcentral lists this ribosomal RNA (175 nucleotides) under Acropoma lecorneti. Its description in RNAcentral is "partial 12S rRNA". Lineage: Eukaryota; Metazoa; Chordata; Actinopteri; Acropomatiformes; Acropomatidae. The record is from RNAcentral.